Molecule: ribosomal RNA, 499 nt
Filed under: uncultured bacterium
Lineage: Bacteria
Description: bacterial SSU rRNA
Rfam family: Bacterial small subunit ribosomal RNA
Source: RNAcentral
UAGUCCACGCCGUAAACGAUGAUAACUAGCUGUUCGGGCCCACAGGGCUUGAGUGGCGCAGCUAACGCAUUAAGUUAUCCGCCUGGGGAGUACGGUCGCAAGAUUAAAACUCAAAGGAAUUGACGGGGGCCUGCACAAGCGGUGGAGCAUGUGGUUUAAUUCGACGCAACGCGCAGAACCUUACCAGCUUUUGACAUCCUGGUCGCGGAUUUGGGAGACCAUUUCCUUCAGUUCGGCUGGACCAGUGACAGGUGCUGCAUGGCUGUCGUCAGCUCGUGUCGUGAGAUGUUGGGUUAAGUCCCAUAACGAGCGCAACCCUUAUCCUUAGUUGCCAGCGGGUCAUGCCGGGCACUCUAGAGAAACUGCCGGUGACAAACCGGAGGAAGGUAAGGAUGACGUCAAGUCAGCAUGCCCCUUACGCUCUGGGCUACACACGUGCUACAAUGGUCGUGACAAAGAGUUGCUAGUCUGCGAAGGCAAGCCAAUCUCAUAAACGCGG